AAGCACUGCCGACUGAGAGGAAGAGCGUGAACUUUGGAAGCCAAGGAGGAUUCUUUACCAGCUGAGCUACCAGGGAAGUGAGAAGGUGGCCACCUGCAAUUCAAGAGAAAACCUCUCAUCAGAACCUGACCAUGCUGGCACUUUGAUCUCAGACUUCUAGCCUCCAGACUGUGAGAAAAUGGAGGCUCAGAAAGGCUAAAGCGUUUGCUGAAGAUCAUACACAGCUGGUCAAGUGUGCUGGCCCAUCUGCAGCCCCCUUGAUGUGUGCUGAGCACUGCUUAACUAUUAAAACACAUGUUUUAACACAUGUGUUCACUAGUUCCUUAUACCCAUCCCGGUUCAUGGAGGUGUGUGAACAUCAGGACCAAGGCCACCUGACAAUCACAGGGGGACCU
This is a long non-coding RNA of Dama dama (fallow deer), 395 nucleotides long. RefSeq lists it as uncharacterized. Lineage: Eukaryota; Metazoa; Chordata; Mammalia; Artiodactyla; Cervidae. The record is from RefSeq and is a predicted model, not a curated record. The transcript has 4 exons.